Molecule: ribosomal RNA, 389 nt
Filed under: Pyramimonadales sp.
Lineage: Eukaryota; Viridiplantae; Chlorophyta; Pyramimonadophyceae; Pyramimonadales
Description: partial small subunit ribosomal RNA
Rfam family: Eukaryotic small subunit ribosomal RNA
Source: RNAcentral
AUUCCAGCUCCAAUAGCGUAUAUUUAAGUUGUUGCAGUUAAAAAGCUCGUAGUUGGAUUUCGGGUGAGGAUGACCGGUCUGCCGUUGCGGUACGCACUGGACGUUUUCAUCUUGUUGUCGGGGACGCGCUUCUGGGCUUCACUGUUCGGGACGCGGAGUCGGCGCUGUUACUUUGAAAAAAUUAGAGUGUUCAAAGCAGGCAAUCGCUCUGAAUACAUUAGCAUGGAAUAACGCUAUAGGACUCUGGUCCUAUUGUGUUGGUCUUCGGGACCGGAGUAAUGAUUAAGAGGGACAGUUGGGGGCAUUCGUAUUUCAUUGUCAGAGGUGAAAUUCUUGGAUUUAUGAAAGACGAACUUCUGCGAAAGCAUUUGCCAAGGAUGUUCUCAUCG